RNAcentral lists this ribosomal RNA (1070 nucleotides) under Bacillus sp. (in: firmicutes). RNAcentral's name for it is "bacterial SSU rRNA". It matches the Rfam family "Bacterial small subunit ribosomal RNA", at positions 62 to 1108 of the family's 1533-position model. The record is from RNAcentral. Lineage: Bacteria; Bacillati; Bacillota; Bacilli; Caryophanales; Bacillaceae.
ACUUGGGUUUAGCCUCGGUAGGGUUUUCGUAGGGGGACCCCGUCGGGUGAGUAACACCUGGGCAACCUGCCUGUAAGACUGGGAUAACUCCGGGAAACCGGAGCUAAUACCGGAUACUAUGUCAAACCGCAUGGUUUGACAUUCAAAGACGGUUUCGGCUGUCACUUACAGAUGGGCCCGCGGCGCAUUAGCUAGUUGGUGAGGUAACGGCUCACCAAGGCGACGAUGCGUAGCCGACCUGAGAGGGUGAUCGGCCACACUGGGACUGAGACACGGCCCAGACUCCUACGGGAGGCAGCAGUAGGGAAUCUUCCGCAAUGGACGAAAGUCUGACGGAGCAACGCCGCGUGAGUGAUGAAGGUUUUCGGAUCGUAAAACUCUGUUGUCAGGGAAGAACAAGUGCCGGAGUAACUGCCGGCGCCUUGACGGUACCUGACCAGAAAGCCACGGCUAACUACGUGCCAGCAGCCGCGGUAAUACGUAGGUGGCAAGCGUUGUCCGGAAUUAUUGGGCGUAAAGCGCGCGCAGGCGGUUUCUUAAGUCUGAUGUGAAAGCCCCCGGCUCAACCGGGGAGGGUCAUUGGAAACUGGGAAACUUGAGUGCAGAAGAGGAGAGUGGAAUUCCACGUGUAGCGGUGAAAUGCGUAGAGAUGUGGAGGAACACCAGUGGCGAAGGCGACUCUCUGGUCUGUAACUGACGCUGAGGCGCGAAAGCGUGGGGAGCGAACAGGAUUAGAUACCCUGGUAGUCCACGCCGUAAACGAUGAGUGCUAAGUGUUAGAGGGUUUCCGCCCUUUAGUGCUGCAGCUAACGCAUUAAGCACUCCGCCUGGGGAGUACGGUCGCAAGACUGAAACUCAAAGGAAUUGACGGGGGCCCGCACAAGCGGUGGAGCAUGUGGUUUAAUUCUAAGCAACGCGAAGAAACUUACCAGGUCUUGACAUCCUUUUGCACUUCUAUAGAUAGAAAGGUCGCCUUCUUGGAACGAACAGACAGCUGGUGCAUGGAUUGCCCGCAGCUCGUGGUCGUGAGAUGUGGGGUUAAGUUCACACUACGAAGGCUCAAGCCCUCU